RNAcentral lists this ribosomal RNA (253 nucleotides) under uncultured bacterium. Its description in RNAcentral is "partial 16S ribosomal RNA". It matches the Rfam family "Bacterial small subunit ribosomal RNA", at positions 524 to 776 of the family's 1533-position model. The record is from RNAcentral.
UACGUAGGGGGCAAGCGUUGUCCGGAUUUAUUGGGCGUAAAGAGCGUGUAGGCGGCUAGAUAGGUCCGUUGUGAAAACUCGAGGCUCAACCUCGAGACGUCGAUGGAAACCAUCUGGCUAGAGUCCGGAAGAGGAGAGUGGAAUUCCUGGUGUAGCGGUGAAAUGCGCAGAUAUCAGGAAGAACACCCGUGGCGAAGGCGGCUCUCUGGUACGUGACUGACGCUGAGACGCGAAAGCCAGGGGAGCGAACGGG